RNAcentral lists this ribosomal RNA (450 nucleotides) under uncultured bacterium. RNAcentral's name for it is "partial 16S ribosomal RNA". It matches the Rfam family "Bacterial small subunit ribosomal RNA", at positions 338 to 795 of the family's 1533-position model. The record is from RNAcentral.
CCUACGGGUGGCUGCAGUGGGGAAUUUUGGACAAUGGGGGCAACCCUGAUCCAGCCAUUCCGCGUGAGUGAAGAAGGCCUUCGGGUUGUAAAGCUCUUUCGGCCGGGAAGAAAUCGCAUCUCCUAAUACGGGGUGUGGAUGACGGUACCGGAAGCAGAAGCACCGGCUAACUACGUGCCAGCAGCCGCGGUAAUACGUAGGGUGCGAGCGUUAAGCGGAGUUACUGGGGGUGGCUCACUAAGACAGAUCUGAAAUCCCCGGGCUUAACCUGGGAACUGCGUUUGUGACUGGUGGGGUUGAGUGCGGCAGAGGGGGGUGGAAUUCCACGUGUAGCAGUGAAAUGCGUAGAGAUGUGGAGGAACACCGAUGGCGAAGGCAGCCCCCUGGGUCGACACUGACGCUCAUGCACGAAAGCGUGGGGAGCAAACAGGAUUAGAUACCCCUGUAGUC